AGAGUUUGAUCAUGGCUCAGAUUGAACGCUGGCGGUAUGCUUAACACAUGCAAGUCGAACGGUAACAGGCCUUCGGGCGCUGACGAGUGGCGGACGGGUGAGUAACGCGUAGGAAUCUGCCUCAUAGUGGGGGACAACGUGGGGAAACUCACGCUAAUACCGCAUACGCCCUACGGGGGAAAGCGGGGGAUCUUCGGACCUCGCGCUAUGAGGUGAGCCUGCGUUAGAUUAGCUAGUUGGUAGGGUAAAGGCCUACCAAGGCGACGAUCUAUAGCUGGUCUGAGAGGACGAUCAGCCACACUGGGACUGAGACACGGCCCAGACUCCUACGGGAGGCAGCAGUGGGGAAUAUUGGACAAUGGGCGCAAGCCUGAUCCAGCAAUACCGCGUGUGUGAAGAAGGCCUUAGGGUUGUAAAGCACUUUCAAUUGGGAGGAAAACCUGCCGGUCAAUACCCGGUAGCUUGACAUUACCUUUAGAAGAAGCACCGGCUAACUCCGUG
RNAcentral lists this ribosomal RNA (501 nucleotides) under uncultured bacterium. Its description in RNAcentral is "bacterial SSU rRNA". It matches the Rfam family "Bacterial small subunit ribosomal RNA", at positions 8 to 507 of the family's 1533-position model. The record is from RNAcentral.